CAGCAGCCGCGGGAAUACGAAGGGUGCAAGCGUUAAUCGGAAUUACUGGGCGUAAAGCGUGCGUAGGCGGUUUGUUAAGUCUGCUGUGAAAUCCCCGGGCUCAACCUGGGAAUGGCAGUGGAUACUGGCAAGCUAGAGUGUGUCAGAGGAUGGUGGAAUUCCCGGUGUAGCGGUGAAAUGCGUAGAGAUCGGGAGGAACAUCAGUGGCGAAGGCGGCCAUCUGGGACAACACUGACGCUGAAGCACGAAAGCGUGGGGAGCAAACAGGAUUAGAUACCCCUGUAGUCCCUGUCUCUUAUAC
Molecule: ribosomal RNA, 301 nt
Filed under: uncultured bacterium
Lineage: Bacteria
Description: partial 16S ribosomal RNA
Rfam family: Bacterial small subunit ribosomal RNA
Source: RNAcentral